GUGCACGCUGGCGGUAGGCCUAACACCUGCAAGUCGAACGGCAGCACAGUAAGCGCUUGCUCUUCCGGGUGGCGAGUGGCGGACGGGUGAGGAAUACAUCGGAAUCUACUUUUUCGUGGGGGAUAACGUAGGGAAACUUACGCUAAUACCGCAUACGACCUACCGGUGAAAGCAGGGGAUCUUCGGACCUUGCGCGAUUGAAUGAGCCGAUGUCGGAUUAGCUAGUUGGCGGGGUAAAGGCCCACCAAGGCGACGAUCCGUAGCUGGUCUGAGAGGAUGAUCAGCCACACUGGAACUGAGACACGGUCCAGACUCCUACGGGAGGCAGCAGUGGGGAAUAUUGGACAAUGGGCGCAAGCCUGAUCCAGCAAUACCGCGUGGGUGAAGAAGGCCUUCGGGUUGUAAAGCCCUUUUAUUGGGAAAGAAAAGCAGCAGGUUAAUACCCCGCUGUUCUGACGGUACCCAAAGAAUAAGCACCGGCUAACUUCGUG
This 491-nucleotide ribosomal RNA is filed under the name uncultured bacterium. Its description in RNAcentral is "partial 16S ribosomal RNA". It matches the Rfam family "Bacterial small subunit ribosomal RNA", at positions 29 to 507 of the family's 1533-position model. The record is from RNAcentral.